GAUGAACGCUAGCUACAGGCUUAACACAUGCAAGUCGAGGGGAAACGAUAUUGGAAGCUUGCUUCUGAUAGGCAUCGACCGGCGCACGGGUGAGUAACGCGUAUCCAAUCUGCCCAUCACUUGGGGAUAACCUUGUGAAAGUAAGACUAAUACCCAAUGACGUCUCUAGAAGACAUCUGAAAGAGAUUAAAGAUUUAUCGGUGAUGGAUGGGGAUGCGUCUGAUUAGCUUGUUGGCGGGGUAACGGCCCACCAAGGCGACGAUCAGUAGGGGUUCUGAGAGGAAGGUCCCCCACAUUGGAACUGAGACACGGUCCAAACUCCUACGGGAGGCAGCAGUGAGGAAUAUUGGUCAAUGGACGAGAGUCUGAACCAGCCAAGUAGCGUGCAGGAUGACGGCCCUAUGGGUUGUAAACUGCUUUUAUAAGGGAAUAAAGUGGGAGUCGUGACUCUUUUUGCAUGUACCUUAUGAAUAAGGACCGGCUAAUUCCGUGCCAG
Molecule: ribosomal RNA, 496 nt
Filed under: uncultured bacterium
Lineage: Bacteria
Description: bacterial SSU rRNA
Rfam family: Bacterial small subunit ribosomal RNA
Source: RNAcentral